UAGGGAAUCUUCGGCAAUGGGGGGAACCCUGACCGAGCAACGCCGCGUGAACGAAGAAGGCUUUCGAGUCGUAAAGUUCUUUUAUAUGGGAAGAUAAUGACGGUACCAUAAGAAAAAGCCCCGGCUAACUAGGUGCCAGCAGCCGCGGUAAUACGUAUGGACCGAGCGUUGUCCGGAAUCAUUGGGCGUAAAGGGUACGUAGGCGGCCCAGUAAGUUAGAAGUGAAAUAAUAUAGCUCAACUAUAUAAAGCUUUUAAAACUGCUAGGCUUGAGAGAUGGAAGGGAAAGUGGAAUUCCUAGUGUAGCGGUGAAAUGCGCAGAUAUUAGGAAGAAUACCGGUGGCGAAGGCGACUUUCUGGUCAUCAUCUGACGCUGAGGUACGAAAGCGUGGGUAGCAAACAGG
RNAcentral lists this ribosomal RNA (403 nucleotides) under Bacteroidota bacterium. RNAcentral's name for it is "Bacteroidetes bacterium partial 16S ribosomal RNA". It matches the Rfam family "Bacterial small subunit ribosomal RNA", at positions 355 to 776 of the family's 1533-position model. The record is from RNAcentral. Lineage: Bacteria; Pseudomonadati; Bacteroidota.